UACGGAGAGUGCGAACGUUGUUCGGAUUCACUGGGCGUAAAGGGCACGUAGGCGGCUCGGCAAAUCGGUCGUGGAAUCCCGACGCUUACCGUCGGAACGGCGGCCGAAAAUACCGAGCUCGAGGGCGUGAGGGGUCACUGGAACUCCUGGUGAAGCGGUGAAAUGCGUAGAUAUCAGGAGGAACGCCGGAGGCGAAAGCGAGUGACUGGCGCGUUCCUGACGCUGAGGUGCGAAAGCUAGGGGAGCAAACAGG
This 253-nucleotide ribosomal RNA is filed under the name uncultured bacterium. RNAcentral's name for it is "partial 16S ribosomal RNA". It matches the Rfam family "Bacterial small subunit ribosomal RNA", at positions 524 to 776 of the family's 1533-position model. The record is from RNAcentral.